UCUUCACAAGUCCAUUGUCACCACAAAGGACGAAAAGCUUCAAGCAUUUGAUCUCUUUGUGAUGCUCCACUUGAACUUGCACACCGCAACCUAACCCCACAAAGAACUCUCACGAAGACCAUGGGUUAAUACACAAAGCGUAAUUGACAAUGCUUACCAUACCAUGGGAUCACUUGAUUCCUCUCAGUACAUCUUCUAGGCUUUGUGGGUUGAUCAACUUGAUUCACUCUUUGACUUAGUCUUGAUCAACCUCUCACAAGACUAAUCUUUAGGUAAUUCCUUGAAUAGCACCUUGGUCGACACAAACUCUCCUUGAAACCAACACAUGUACUCCAAGAAAACCUAUGGAAAAAACCUUCAAAUAUAACUCAAGGCAACCAUUAGUCUAUAGAGACUGUCAUCAAUUACCAAAACCAAACAUGGGGGCACCGCAUGUUCUUUCAGUAGGUAACUAAUUACCAAUAGCAGGUAACUAGACAUCAAUGGUAGGCCAGUUUCAUAGUAUUGUAGGCAACUCGACAUCAAUGAUAGACAACUAAACAUCCAGGGUAGGCAACUGAGCAGCUAUGGUAGCCAAGUUGUGAUAAUGUUAGCAAAAUUCAUUGAUACACGUAGUGCAAUGAAGUUUCUUAUAUGUAGCAUUAAAGGUGCCUAAUAUUUUGUGUGAUUUUCUCAUUUUUUACACUAACCAACCUAACAGGUAGUCCUACUAGGAAAAAAAAUGAAGUUGCCUUCCUAUAGCACUAAAGUUGCCUUCAUCGGACACAAAGUUGCCUCGAAAAAAAGUUCGACGAAACCUAUCGAUAUGAGAUCUAGUUUUGAAGAACUCAUCACAAGAAACCCGGAUGUGAAAACAAAACUGAAUUUGGACGCUUCAAUCAAAAGUUACAGGUUUUUUAAAUUUUUUGAACACCCAAACAAAUGAACGUGCGGACAAGAUUCCUUUUUUUUGUGGAUCACAUCAGGCGCGUCGGCUGCUCCUUCCAUAUUUGGAAGAGCGCUCGUUCCCACCAGCGGGCGCCCGCUAGCCAUGUCCAUAUUUAUUGAGCGUAAACGUCCGCUCAUAAGGCCAAAAAGGAUGCGACAGGUUCACGUCCGUGCGAUGUGUGUGAGUCUGUCGGUGAAAAUAUGACCCCUUUUUUUGACUCAAAUAACGAAAAAACCUAAGAUCAGAAUUCCUAAUUUUCAACUGAUUUUAAUUCACCUUCAUUUGAUUUUUUUGUGUGUGAUUCUAAUUUUUGCUAAUUACACACAAUUUCAAUUAAAUAAAAAAGGGAGAUCGAAAUCCUGGAGUACGUGCAAUAGAAAUCCACAACCGGUUAUGUACGGUUAUGUGCUCACACGGCACGGUAAUGGGCUUUUGUGUUGUGGCACGUAUUUAUUUUCUUUGUUAUCAUGGGCAAUGGACUUUGUUGGGGAUGGGUUCUAGGUCUUCUUGAAGGGCUAUGUUUGGAUUUUCAGCUCCAUGAUCUUCAUUGUAUUCCUAUGAACCAAUUAAUAAAGUGGAGUGUGUUCAACCUGAGAAAGUGUUUAUUUUGUCUAUUUUUUUGGGCAAUUGACUCAUUAAUAAGUUACAAUGGGUUCACAUGUUUCUACACAUUUUGAAACAUGUAAAUAAGGGUAAACACAACUAUAAUUUAUGUUCUGACAUGUUUGAAAUGUGUAAAUAAGGGUAACAACACUCUCUCAAAACUGUGUUUCGCCCCGCUUUAUAAAUAAAGCAACAUCCAAAGAUGUACAUGGCCGAAUGAUAGAACACAGUGAGGUAGCCCUCUGACAAAGAUGAUCCCGAGAUAUCCAACACACGUAAAAUGCACGCGACUACGCUACCAGCAACGAGCAUUGAGAGAACUAAACACCCCUAUGCUACGAGAAUGGCGCAGAGCAUCGCCAUUGCCGAGUCCACACCGAACAAAGGUCUUCACCCGGUGCCCUGAGAAAUCAGGUAAACAACACUAAUUUGAACUAAAACCAUUUUGGAAUGGAGGGAGUAUAGUGUAAGUUAAAUCAUGUAGAACUAUGUGUCGUCCUAAAAAUCUUGGAGGGUUAGGUGUGUUGGAUCUCAAGAUUUGGAUGUGUCCUACGGCUCUGUCGGAAGUGACUUGACCAUAUUGAUAAUGACAAACCUUGGGUUGGUUCUCCCAUCCUCUGUACAAACAUAGGAUCAACCCUCGCGUCGUCCUCCUCCAGGGGGACUCGGGCGGGGCGUAUCACCCCCGGCGCAAGGCCUCCCAGUGUUCACCCAUCCACCGCUGCCUAACGCAUCCCCGGCCAAAGCCUACUUGGAUCUGGCGGUGGCGGGCCAUGGCUUUUAGGGCAUCGUCACCCCUCGAACUAGGGGAUCGGGUGGUGGCCGACAGCGCGGCGCUGCCCCGGCACGCGUCGCCGAGCUCUGAGGUGGAGGGGACGGCGGUGGUUGCGGGCGAAUGCCGUCGGCAUGGUGCUCCUGGUACGUGCGUGCAGCGGCGGAACAAGGUGCGGCGGCGCGGCUCUGUCGGUGACUCGAUGGUUGGAUGUGUUCGUGAGGCCCGGUGGCUGGCUACCGGCCAUGGUCGCUGGGUUGCGGACGACGCGACGGCGGGUGAGGCACGCCGACAACUUGGCAGAUACGCCCUUGUCUGGGUCCUUGACACCGCGGGCAACUCUCGGGAAAACCCUAGAUCUCAUUGCAAUCGAGUGAUGGCGGUGCUUUAGCGUCGUAGUCCCUCUUGAGGGCAUCGUUUUUUGAGUUUGCUUAGGUUCAAGGGACCAACGACGCCGACCCGGUGGCGUGACUGCCGAUGAAAAUCACGCCGACUUGGUCAUGGCGGACGAUGGUGGCGUCUCCGAUGUCGUUUCCUUGUUGAGGCAUCAUCGUUGCAGUUUGCGUUAUCAUGCUCGGGAUGCUCCGGGGAAAACCCUAGAUCUGGGCCUCCCGGAUUGGACGAUGACGGCGCCUUUGGUGUCGUUCUCCUUCCUGGGGGCAUCGUUUUGGAGCUAGUGCAGGUUCGAGGGGACUAUUGGAGGAGCCGUGUUAGAUCUACCGCAAGGCCAACGGCGGAUCCUGGCGGCAUGGCGCCGCGGAGGUUCGGCGACGGGCGCGUGUGGACGGACACGUGCAGGAUUGUGGUGUUGUUUGGCGCCAUGGUGGCGUCAACGGCAGGCCAAGCAAGGUUGAUGCGUCAGUUCCUGCUCUGGAGAUGGACUGAUGGAUGAUGGCGGUGGCAGCCUGUGAGAGUGUGCCGGUCCAGUGUGUGACCCAGUCCUGGUAUGUGGCUGGGCUGGGGCAUCCGACUUUAGAUGCUAGGCUUUGGUGCGAUGUCUGUUUGGUAUUUGGCUCGAAUAUUCGGCACGCCUUCAUCAAAGGGAUAGGAGUAGCAAUAGAUAUUGCCUAGAUGGUGGUGUUAUGGCUGCUAGAAGGAGGGCGUGAGAGGGUCGGCCGAGGGCCUUUUUUUGCCCACGGCCAGGCAAGAGGAAAGGGAUUUCCUUCUUAAUUCUUGCUUGAUUAGAUUGAUACAUUUCCUCUCUUUAUAUAGAGAGGUUUACUUGACUCCCAAGCAAGGCUUACUUGACCCCUAAGCAAGCGACCCUUAUCUCUAAUUAACCCUAAGACUAACGGACUAUACCGCGAGCCCAGGCUAUUAGAUCCAUUACGUACUCUAACACUACACCCCACCCGAACAUGCAGCUUGUCCUCGAGCUGCAGCCUAACCAACUUAUAACCAUGACUCGACGCAACACAAAACUAACACCCAAAAACAAGCCUUUUACAUCUCGGCUUGUUUUAUUACUCUCAACUCGAAAUGGACUGGGACGAUUUAUUUUGGACCCCUUAACAAAAAGUGGACACCAUCCGCAUGUCAGACGUGCACGUGUACAACCACCUGGAUCUCAUGAACACCAUCUAAACAAAAGUAGUGCAUGUGUAUGACCACCUGGAAGUGGUCGCAAGAGCGACCAGCAGAGGCGCCCUCGCGGCGCCCGGUGGAAUGCAGUGGUGCUACGCGGUGCGCUUCUGUCGGUGACACGCUGCCUUUUUCCUGCCGGACGACUGUUGGUCUGCACCGCACAGAGAAGAGUGGAGGGCUUGCGAUGGAGAAUGACGAGGAGGGGUGCACCCCCCAACCGCCGAUGUCGCAGACUUUGAGGCCGCUGCCCGCAGGAAAACAACAUGUCCGCAGCCCAUGGGGAAACCGUAUGCCCAAGAUCCCCGACACAGCGGACGAGAUCGAGGUCGUUUGUGCAGCGAAGGGCAAUUUGGAGGAGCGGCAGCUGCAGACCACACAUCUCCUGCACACGCCGACACGCUAGGAGGCCGCGUGCAGCAGCCUGCAGCCUCACUGCCGCCGACAUGUGGCGGGUUAGUGAUCCAAACCGGAAGCGGUGAUGGCGACGGCGGGAACUUGAUCUACUGGAUGGGGACACCCUGGGGAAGCGGUGAUGGCGACGGCGGGAACAUGAUCUGGUGGAUCGGGACUCCCGCCGGCGUGAUCGAUGCGGGGCCGGAGCUGACCGUCGAUGGCUGUUGCAGCGGAGCGCUGGGAGCGGCGGAGGCCGCCAGGAGCGGCGGCUGACACUGCAACCAGGGCGGGGCGGUGGAUGGCAGCUGGAGCGGCUGUGCAGUGGCCCGGCAAGCGCGGCGGAGGCCGCCUGGUGCGGCGGCUGCCACGGCGGUACAGCCGGGUGCGGCCCGUAGGACCCGGCCAAGAACAGGCGGAUCUCCCGGACCGCCUGAGUUAGGUCCCACAGCGUCCUGGACACCUUCCCCAGGGUGAGAAUGGCGGGGGCGGGCACGACGGAGAAUCCCGACAGCAGAAGAGACGGGUUGGGCAGCGAUGAAGACAUGAUCAAACUGAAGCUAGCCCGUUAGUCUAGGCUAUUAGGCCCAUUAUGUACUCUAACAGGUGGCUUGAGACUUACUAAUGUAUUAUUUUGUAUGAUCUUUGUGGAUUAUAAUUAAUAAAAUGGUCGUAUGCAUCAUCCAGAUGCAAAGGCCAGGGGUAUAUCCUCUUUUUCUAAAAAAAAUCCUCUGUACAAAGAUGAUUUGGCACUCUUUUCAACCUCCACUUAUGUCAUGGUUGGCAAUGGCAUGUGUAUGAGCUUCUCGAUGACCGCGGGCUCGAUGAGGAGGCUCUAUGAUUCUCUACCCCCAGCAUUUUCAAGCUUUCUCAGUGCAAGAAUAUCUCAGUUGCAUACGCAGUUACGAUCAAAGAUGGAUGAUCGGACUGCACAUGGUAUAUGUGAUUACGGAGUUCUGGCAACUCACAUAGUGUUGGCUGCAUCUGAACAAGUCUCCCUGCAACCUUGCAAUCCGACACUGAUGACACAAUAAGUUGGGCCUGAAACUCCUCCCAGGUGUACACCGCUGCAUCCUCGUACCACUGUCAAUUCAUUGGUUCAGUUCCCCCCUUAAGAUUUAACAAGCUUUUUUUUGAAGGGAACAAAUGGUAUUUCAUUACAUUAGACCGCUGGUUAAAUCAACAGCUACAGAGUUCAUUACAACAUUAGGGAAUUGGCCUAACCAGAUUUCAUAACUGUCAUUCCCUAAACUAGUUCCAUGUGCAGCUAAGGCAUGCGCUGCAUUAUUACAAGACCUUGGACACAUAUAAAGAUUUACAUUAUCAAAACCGACUCUCAUUUGAAAUUUUAUCUUCUGGAACAGAGCUCCAAGUGGCGCUAGGUCGUAGUCCCGACUUGAGAUUGCUUGUUUCAGUACCCUGGAGUCCGUCUCAAAGAUGGCUUGGUGACACCCCAAGUUGAUUGUUGCAUUAAUCGCCAAAGUGCCAUUUCUUCAUGUGGCCAUGGCUUCAGGGUAGAAUCCUCACAAACGACAAUUUGGUGAUUCGUGGUAUUCCUCACAACGAUGCAUGCAAACCUCUGUGAUCAAGUUGAUGAAUCCCCUUCGCACCUUAUUCUGAAAUGCCCUACGUAGAUAUGUUUGGGAGCUGCUUGCGGAAUGCGGAAUGGUCUGAUAACACUGGAUUGGCCGCAAAUACCCAAGACAUUGUGUCCAGGAGUGGUGGAAUGAUCGAACCAAAGUUGUCCCGUCAGCAAUUUACACGGCGUGGAUCCUUUGGAAAGAAGCAACAUGCAAGUUUUUUUAGCACAAGUCCUUGCAUGAAGCUGGCUCCCUCCAACUUUUAUGUAAGAAGCAAAAUAUAUCCGUCUGCUAUAUCUUCAAUGUUGAAAACGAACAAGAACCUUAACCCCAACUUUUUGUAAAAUAAGAAUGACUUUAUAUUUGUUUUCUCCUGCUUAAUAUAUCGGCAACUAUACUGCCAGUUCCUCAAAAAGAAAAUUGUUUAAAUUGUGAACUCUAAAAUGAACAACGAAAAUAAAAGAGGUCCCGAUAAGCAAUGACUUUUUCAUGUAUAAUCCAAACUUGUUCGGAACAGGCUCGAACUGCCUGCAUAUUCAGCAUAGAGGUACACUCAAACCGCCUGCGUAUUGAGCAUAGAGGUACACAAGAAUGGUGACGAACUGCACGGGCUGGGACCAAUACGAUAUUGUUUAACCUACAAAAAGUUCCCCACGGAUGUGAUCUACAGACUAAUCCCCUCUUAAUAUACCUGGCCAUCUGUCGGGCCGGGCCUAACAAAGCCCAAGGCAGAAAACUGAGGCCCGAGCCCAGCCUGACCUGACCUGACCGUCAAGCCUGUUUUUAGGCCCAAGCCUGACCCGACAAUGCAUGAUAAAGCCCGCUGGGCCUUGGACCUCGGGCUGGGCCCUUCCCUAAAACGCGAAAAUGCCAAGCCCAGGCCGGCCAGACGUGUGCUUCGGGCUCAAAACUCAGGCCCAGGCCCGAUCCACGGGCAAGACCAGGCCGGGUCUAGUCGGGCCAGUCGGGCCGGGUAUCCCAUGGCCAGGUAUACCUCCGACCUCCGUGAACUUCAACUAACCUUCCCCUGAAUCCUAACAAGCCUAUCUGUUGGCCUCCAUGUCACCACGUAAACUCAUCCUGUAGGAAAUCUUCGGUAAUGCCAUCUCCAACGCUUACUCUAACCGGACACUGCAUCCGUCCACGGACACGGAUGCGAGAGCCAGUCAUCCAAAGCUAGCCUCAAACAAUUCAAACCGAAUUUCAACUAACCGAACAAAUUUCAUCAAAUAAGACACAUCUCAUUCAUGUUCGGAGAUAAUUUAUAUAGAUCAACUGAUAUUUCGUCCGUUUAACUUAAAAAAAACUAGAAAAAACCUAAAGCUUGUAGUGGAUGAUGACAUCGUACACGUGGCCGUCUUGCCCGACUGCACCGCCAUUGCCGUCUGUACCGUCCUCGUCGUCCCUACUGUGGCGGAAGGGUGCAGGUCCGCUGCUGCAGCCUUGUCCGGUAGCUGCCUCGCGCCUGCGGAGGAGCCGCUCCGCUCCGCUUCCUCCUGCUUGGUGCAGAGGGCCGCCGGGGCCAAUUCCAACAACGUUCGUAGAGCCUUGCCCCUGCCGGCAUUGGCGGCACUCCUUGUUGAUCUUGGCGAGCUCGCCGUCAAGGCAGUGGCGACGCCUCAUGGUCGUCUCUACGGUGGUGAUAGAGCGGUCAAGGGCCCAGGUGGCGGCGAGGUCGGGGUCGUUGACAACCUAGUCUGACACCGCGCCCGACUUGGCGGACGCAAAGCGACGGGCAGCAUUGCGCCGCUUAUACCGCGCCGCCUGCCUUGCCGCCCUUUCCUCGACGGGAAUGACAACCCAUGAUCUCUAGGGACCGCCGCCAGCGAGGUAGUGGAGGAUGCGGCCGCGCGCCUUGGCAAUCACGGGUGGCAGUUGUUCCUUGAUGAACUGCCUGAGCCGGUUGCGGCGAGGCUGGCCCGUCGAUCCGGGUGUACCGGCUAUAUAGCAGUGGUGACGCCGACUCUUCCUUCACGCGGCGCCCAAUUUGGACGCCAGCUCCUCCUUGAAGUUUGAUGCUUGGUCUGAUGUGGACGCUGCCAUGGUUAUGCGCGCGCGCACGUGUGUGUGUAUGUGUGUGUGAGGGGGAUGCGAGCUCCUCCUUCACGCGCCAAAGAGGAGAUGCGGGCUCCUCCUUGAAGCGCUAGCGCGGCGGGGAUGGCGGCUCAUCCUUAAUGGGAUGUGGUGGUAAGGACGGCGCCGGGCCACACUCUUGGAGCGAUCGCUUCGUCAUCAGCUCCAUCUCAUGGAUGAAUUCCUCGUCUGUCAGAGCGGCCUCAAGAGGAGGCGCGGCUGCUGCUUCAGCAGCGUCCGGUCCUCCUUGUCGCCGGAGGAGUUGGCCGCCAUGGAGGCCGAGUGCCCCGAAGAGCGAUGGCGGUGGCGCCAUGAGCCUGACGAAGAUCCAGGCCGCCGCCGCCUACCGGCACGGAGAACCAAGAUUUCAGCAUCGCUGGAGGAGGAGAGGCUCGGGAAGGAGGAGGGGCUCAGAGAGGAGGAAGUGUGGAUGUGCAUCGUCGGAGCACGGCUUAUAUAGUCGUGGCCAGGCCAUGCGAACGGAUGGCCAGCCCGCUGCAAUGCGGCGCAUCGGCCGAAAUUGGUUUCUCGUGACGCGACGUCUGCAUUGAAGCAGCUACGCUCGAGAGGCCGUGUCGGUUAGCGCUGCUCUCCCGCCCGGCCACGUCACGUGGCUUCAAAGUCGGCCGCUACAUGCUCUGGCCGGCAUGGAUGCGGUGCAGGAAGCGACAUGUGUUGGAUGGAAUGCGCAUGAGAGGCGGGAUGGUUUUUUUGGAUGGACCAGUGUCGGGUGGUAGGUGCGACAUAUGCCAACGGGUGGCUUAUGAUUGUGGGAGCCAGUAAGACGUCGCCGGUGCCUGUAAGCGGGAUGAGGCGAAGACAUGCACACGGGCGAAUCUUACCCAGCUUCGGGGCUCUCCGUGGAGAUAACACCCCUACCGCUGCUCUGCGUGGUCUCCGCAUGAUCACUAGAUGAACAAGUAGCCACACGAUGCUCCUUGAGCUAUUUGGCGAGAGGAGGAAGAAGGGCUCUGCCCGCUCUCUUCUCCUCCCUAUGUGGUGUUUAAAACUAGCAGGGAUCAACCCUUUGCAUGGGUGUCCCGGGGGGUUUAUAUAGGCCCACCACCAGGGAUACAAUGGUAAUCCGGCUGGAUGCGGGGCCCAGCCGUCUGUGUCUACACUCGCCGGCUUCUGUGCCGGCUGCUGGGGCCCGCCGGCUGGUGGGUCCCGCCGGCUGCCGGCUCCUUGGUCGACAGGCAGGCCCCACUGUCCAGGGCCUUAUCGGCGACUGGUUACUGUUGCUCAAUCCUGGUGACAAAGGCUUCGCCGAGGUGGCCGUGGCUACAGUGCCGCCGUCCGGCGGGUGAUCGCUGUAGCCUCACCGCGUCUUGUAUCCUUAAUGGGGCGUCCCCUUCAAGGGGGUGGCAAACCGGCUGUGGAGAGCCGGCUCUGUCUUGGGCCAACUGGGGGAGGCCGGGCCGCCUUCGGGUGUCUCUCUGCCUGAAGGGGCCCACCACCCGUGGGCCACUCUGGCGGCCCGUCGUGGAUGACAUCAGGGUCAUCAUGACAACAGUGCCGCGCCGGACGGGUCAUGGCCACCCGUACGGCGCACUGUGCCAGGCGUGCUCCGGGAUUCGGGGGUGGCAAGCUUUACUGUAGCCACGCCCCGUCACAUCGCCGUUAUGUGGGUGCAGACUUCGUGGGAACGAUCUUGACCGCUUUAUGGGAGUCGGGUUCUUGGAGUCGGCCCUCUCGGAGCCGUCCCUCCCGCGACUUUUUUCAUGAAGGCUGAAGUCGGGCCGCCUUCCGAUAGUCGGCCUGGGAAACAGCCGGCGAGGGGAAGGCGGCCCCAUUUCUUGGAUUCUUGAGGGCCGGAUGGGCUCGUUAUAAUUUUUUCAGAAGGCCCAGGGGGAGCCGGCUUGGCUACCCAUGGUUAUUUCCUCCGACAGUAGUCCCCGAAGCUGGCGAGCUUCGAAACUGACAAAGGGACGAGAAGCUCGAUCAGCUUCCUACCCUAAGGGGUCGGUUGUGCCUGUGCACACUGUCUUCAGAAAGCCCCGUUUCUCGUAGGCUGGAGCGCGGUCGACCUGCGAGCUGAUCGCAGGCUAUCCCACGGGCCACAUGGCAAGGAAAUCCUGCCGGUGCACGCGCGCGACGGGACGCUGCCGCAGGCCCAGGCCCGCCACUCCUAGGCCUCUGCCCGAGCACGGAUCUUCUGCGGCCCACGCGGACCGCUCACCUUCCCGUGGCGAUUUUAUUACGUCUUCAGGGCGCAAUAAUCGCGGGACGUGGGGGAGUGGGCGCAGUUGAUCCCCAUGUUCCCCCACGCCGCGCCUCCUCGGCUCCGCCGCGCCGGUCUAUAAGUAGGGGGAGGAGAGGGAGCGGCAGAGGCUUGCACGCUCUCCCUCGCUCCGCCCCUCCUCGCCUUCCUUCUUCUUUCCGCCGCCACUGCCACCCAUUGCUGCGCCGUUCCGCCGUCGCAUCGUCUUGCUCCUCGCCGCGUUGCUCCCAUGGCGCUCUCAAGCUCGUGGGAUGGCUCUAACGUCCAUGAAGACCAUGUCGAGUUCCUCCGCCGGACACGGCGCCUGCCGGGCGAGAACUUCGUGCGGGUUCGUCAAGCGCCGGCGAGGGAGAUUUCACCGACACCGGAGGAGGGCGAGCGGGUGAUCUUCAGCUCGCACUGCCUGCGCGGCUUCGGCCUCCCGGCGAGCGGAUUCCUUUGAGCCUUCCUCGAAUUCUACCACCUACAGCCGCAUCACCUCACGCCCAACACGGUGAUGCUGCUGUCGGCCUUCGUCACCCUGUGCGAGGGCUUCCUCGGGGUCCUCCCCACGCUCGAGCUCUGGGGGGAAUUCUUCCAGAGCAAGCUCGGCACCGUUGUCGCGGGCGUGCCCGCCCCCUGCGGAGCCUAUAUUGCCAUGAGGCGGACGGGCGAGAACAACCCAUUCCCGCCCAUCCCGCUGAUCCAGUCGGUGAAACUCUGGCAGAAGUCUUACUUUUACAUGAAGAACGUCGCCUAGCAAGGCGACUACGUCAACCUGCCGGCUUAUGUAGCCGGCCCGCCGGCUGGGAGGCGACCUUCGUGGAGCUAUCGGGCCAGGUUGUUGUCUCAGGCCGGGAACGCAGCCGUCUCCCGACUUUGGGUGAUGAUCCAGUCGGAGGGCCUGACCGGAGCCGACUUGGUGGCCGCCUUCGUGGAGCGCCGGGUACUUCCCCUCCAAGGCCGGCCUCACAUGAUUUGUCAGAUGAGCGGCCGCUUCGACCCGUGCCGGCUGAGCACCAGGGAGAUGCCUCAUGCAGAGGUGUCUUACAUGGUGAACUACAUCUCCAACUGCAAGCUCGCCGAGGAUUGGCGAUAUGGCAAGGAGCCGUAUUCCCGCGCCAACCCUUCGCCUGCCGUAAGGUUUUCCUUCCUUUCUUCCUUUGGUAGUCGGCCUCAUGAUAGCCGGCCUCUGAUUAGUCGGUUUGCCCUUAGCAGAACCCUCUUCUUCCGCCGACGACCGGGGCCGCAGGGGUAGAGCGCCAGCUCCUCCCCGACCGCACGGUGGAUGACGCCGACAAUCCGGACUUGGGAGCGGCCGCCAUGGAAGACGCCAUCGUGGGGGAAAGCGACGAGGCCGGAGGCGCGGGGCUCGGGGCCGGCUUCGAGGACUGGCCGGACGAUGUCGAGGUCGAAGUCGCCCCGCGCCGCCAGCCGGCGCUUGAUCAUCAAGGUGCGGACUCGUCCGACGCGCUGGUUGCCUGCGGCGGCGCGCAGAAGCGCCGGGCCGCGUCGAUCCUCUUCGGCAGCCGGCCGAAGAAAUCCAAGGCUCCCACGGCGGCGACCAAGCGGGAUGAGGCGGCCGCGAAGGCGGCCCGCUUCCGCAAGGCGGUAAAACAGCCGCAGGCGAUCUCGGCGUAAGUCGUCGAAUGCCUCGUAUAUAUACUUUUUGUUAUCCCUUUCGACCAAAACUCUUCUAAACCUUUCUUGGCUUGCCGGACAGGGCACCGCUUUCCCUUGAGCGGGGUCCCGACGGCUCCGUAGUCGGGACGACUGGAGGGUCUUCAGGCUCCCGCCGCGUGGAUCCCCGCGCCGACCUUAGGGAGGCCACGGAGCGGAACGCACGGGAGGCACGGGAGGAGCGGGAGGCGGCGGAGCGAAGGACCGCCCAGGCGGUGAAGGAGCAGGCCGAGGCGACAGCCAAGGCCUGGGCGGAGGCGGCAACCAAGGCCCGGGCGGAGGCGACAGCCGCGGAGACGGAGGCGGAGGCCUCGCACAACCGGCCUCCGCUGCUCGUCGUUCCCCUUCGCGCCGUGGCCCUCGGCAUCCCAGUGCCCCCGUCGGAGGAGGUCGACCAAGACCCGCCGGUGAUGGAGAGGAGGGAGGGCUCCAUGAUCUUCGUGGAGGGGGCGCCGCAGGCAGCACCGACCGGAGCGGGCCAAGGCGGCCAAUCGGCUGCGGUGCCAGAGCAGCCGGCCAGGGGCGAGUCGGAGGCAGGGGCCGGACUCGAGGUGCAGCCAGCAUAGCGCCGACGCGCAGGGGGUGGCGCCUCCGCGCCGGAACCGCACCAAGCUGCGAGCGCCGGCCAGACGGCGGAGGCCCUGGAGGCGGCCAGCACCAGCGCGUCCGAGUGGACCCCCAGCGGGGGGACGGGCGAGGUGAACGCGGCGGCCCAGGAGGUCCGGAGCCGGCUUCAAGCUCAGGCCGCCUCGCUGCAGCGAUACACCCAAGAGUUCCUUGCGACGCGGGCCGUCAUCUGGGUGAGUCUUCUGUCCUGGGUUGUUUUGUUCUUUGAUUUCUUCUGUGGGGGCGCGUCAGCGCACCCACUGCAUGUAGUCCCCGAGAUUCGGGCCGACUGCUGAGCAGUCGGGUCGGAUCUUCCUUGACGACUAUCUUAUUCUCGCCUUCUGUCUGAUUUUCCAGGAGUAUCAUAACCUCCGCGCUGCUGCCUUCAACUCCCAGGCGCAGGACCUGGUCGGAGAACCGAGGAUCUGACCAGCAACCUGAGUGCGUGCUUUCUUUCGUUCAUCUCCUGUGGGGGCGCUUCAGCGCACCCACUGGGUGUAGUCCCCGAGAUUCGGGCCGACUGCUGAGCAGCCGGGUCGGAUCUUCCUUGACGACUUCUUCCUUAUUAAUUUUUUCCUGUCUUCAUGCUUGCAGGAGCCAAUGCCGACUUGAGGGAGCAGCUCAGCAGGGCCCAGGCCACCCUUCGCGCUAAGGAAGCCGAGUACAGCGCCUUGGUCCUGGAGCAUGACCGCCUGGCCAAGAAGUUGGCCGACCAGGAGGAGAGCCACAAGGCGGCUCUGAAGGAAGCUCAGGACAGCGAGAAUGCCCUGAGGGCCGAGUUCGAGACCGAAGCGGCGGGCUGGGCUGAGGCGAAGCAGGCAUUGAGCUAGGGCUUCGGUCGUAUCGAGGAUCUGAUCGAUGGUAAGCCACCUUCUUCACUCCUUGCUUGCCCCUUGAUCCCUGAUUUGUAUUCCAACUUGUGCUGCUUUUUGUUCUCCGUGCAGACUACUUUCCCGGUUACUCCGUCUUUGCCGCCCAAACCAUCGAGGCCCACCGCGAGGCACGUCGGCAGGCGGGGGUUGAAAUCGCGCCGGGCGCGGGCCGGACGCUCGAGGAGCAACUCUUGGUAGUCCAAGCCCGGCUGCAGCCGGCUCACCGUAUGCUCCACCGCCUCCAGCGCGCCGGGGCGCAGGUGUUGGCCGCCCUUUGGCCAAGCGAGAUGAUUCCCCGCACCCCAAGUCGGACUGCCGACUGGCUGGAGGUUGCGGUUGGCCGCUUCGAGGCCUGGAAGGCAUCGGCAACCCGGCUUGGAGCUGGGCGGGCGCUGGAGUUCGUCCGAGCCUGGUAUCCGGGGCUGAACCUGGACCAACUGCGCACCUGGAGGCUGGAGGCCGACGAAGAGCUGGAGGAGGUGCGGCCGGCUAUCGCUCAGCACGCCUCGACGAUCGCCGAGUGCACUGAUAUCAGCAUCUUCGCUCCUGAAAUUAAUGACGACGACGUUGCCCAGCCGGAGGAGUGGUUCGGGCUAAACCCGGCAGCGGGUGAGGACUCGGCAGAGGAGAUCGCCUCCAGCGAUGAAGGCGAAGACGACGAAGGAGAGGAGGGCGAAGACGUUGAGCCGGCCGGUGAAGCGGCCAGCCAGCCUCAGCCCGAUCGUGCCUCCAGCAACAAGGCGCGUGCUAGCGCGCCCUCUGCGGGAGGCGGUGAUCAUGCCGAGGUUCUCCAGCCGGCCACUCCUCCAGCUGGCACUGCCGUCUCCACCGACCUGCCCGACUCGCCAGUCGCUCCCUUGGCUUAAUCUGCCGUCCUUGUUUUUUCCUGCUUGUUGCCUUUUGAACAAUUUUAUUAAACUUGCGCAGUUCCACCCACUGGGGGUGUAUUCAAACUAUGUUGAAUGCUGGCCUUUUGAAGGUCUUUUAUGUAAAUAUUAUUGUGUGCGUGUUUGGCUUCCAUUUACGUAUGCUUUUUGUCCUUAGGCUGUUUCCUUUGCCGCCUUCCCCUUUGGGGAGGUAAGUACUCGAGGUUUUUUAGACUGAAGUGAGGUGAAUGGAAGCCGGCUGGCCGGCUACUCUGGUAGUCGAUCGGUGGUGGGAGAAAAAACGGCUUUUGUUAUAUUAGUCGGUUAGUCCCUAGCCGUUUUUCAUGUGGGCGUCCUUUCCUGCCUUUAACUGUUGCCAGCCGGACAGCCGGUUCUUCGAACUGCGACUUUUGGCAAGAGAAGGCUUGGGUGCCGGCACACUACUUGUCUGACCGCGGGUAGGACUUCUAAUAUAACGCAAGGCGGCCAGUCCCCGGGCCGACUAGUCGAACCCGGUGCCGGAUGAAAAAAGUAAAUGAAAUGACAAGGUCAUAAGCAUGAUACUCUUCAUUCAUAGAUAAAAGAUGGCAGUCCCCGAGCUCUCCUCGGGGGGCCUAUUGUCUCGUACUUAAUACAAAAGAUAGCGUGAUACAUACUGUAUUUCAACUGUAAAAUCUUCGGAGGAGGUUGGCGUUCCAUGGUCGUUCCGACUCCUUGCCGAAGUCGUCUCUCUUUCGUGCCUUCGGCUUCUGCGCGUCGAUUAGGUAGUAAGAGUCAUUGCCUAAAGCUCUACUGAUGACGAAGGGGCCCUCCCAAGGGGCCGAGAGCUUGUGCUGGCCGGUUGUUCGCUGGAUCAGCCGGAGCACAAGAUCGCCCUCUUGGAAUGAUCUUGGCUUGACCUUCCGGCUGUGGUAGCGGCGCAGGCCCUGCUGAUAGAUGGCGGACCGGCUGAGGGCUAACAGCCAGCCCUCUUCCAGCAGGUCGACACCGUCUUCUCGUGCUUCCCUAGCUUCCGCCUCCGUGUACAUGGUUACCCGAGGUGAAUCGAACUCGAUGUCAGUUGGGAUGACCGCCUCGGCACCAUACACGAGGAAGAAAGGAGUGAAGCUGGUUGACUUGUUUGGGGUAGUGCACAGACUCCAGAGGACGGCCGGCAGCUCAUUGAGCCAACAGCCGGCUAAACACUCCAGUGGUACGACCAGUCGGGGCUUGAUGCCGGAAAGGAUGAGGCCGUUGGCUCGCUCGACCUGGCCGUUUGACUGCGGGUGGGCAACGGAAGCUAAGUCUAGCCGGAUGCCUUGCGUCGCGCAGAAACGUGCCAAGGCUCCCUUGGCGAAAUUCGUGCCAUUGUCGGUGAUGAUGCUGUGUGGCACGCCGUACCGAGUUGUUAUGUCUGCGAUGAAUGUCACGGCAGUCGGCCCAUUCAACUUCUUGAUCGGCUUUGCCUCAAUCCAUUUGGUGAAUUUGUCCACAGCGACAAGCAGAUGUGUCAUGCCGUCGCGCGCCGUCUUGAAUGGGCCCACCAUGUCCAGUCCCCAAACGGCGAAGGGCCAAGUGAGGGGAAUGGUCUUGAGUGCUGAAGACGGCAUGUGUUGCUUGGAGCUGAAAAGUUGGCACCCUUUGCAAUGUUUAACUAACUCCUUGGUGUCAUCCAAAGCAGUCGGCCAAAAGAAACCAUGGCGGAAGGCUUUGGCGACGAGUGAUCUUGAGGCCGCAUGGUGGCCGCAUUCUCCUUGGUGGAUAUCUCUGAGGAUUGCGAUGCCCUUCUCUUGCUCGACGCAUCGCUGGAGGACUCCAGUGACACUGCGCUUGACGAGCUCUUUGUUGACGAUUGUGUAUGCUCCAGCUCGGCGUUGGACUUGUCUUGCCUCUGUUUCGUCAGCCGGCAGAUCUUGGUUUAUUAGGAAGUUGAGGAUGGACUGAGCCCAUAAUGGAGCUGCGACUUCUUCUAUUGCCAACACGGCUACUACGACCAGGGCGGGCGGGCUGGGUGGUGAAACGCUGGAGUCGGCCGCCGCCUGUUGUGUUGGAGCAGUCCCCGGGCCGACUACCGCAGUCCCUGAGCCGGCUGUGGCAGUCCCCGGGUCGGGCGUAACUAUGGAAGUCCCCGAGGCGCCUCUGACGUCCCCGGGCCGACUAUCGAAGUCCCCGGGUCGCCUGCUUGGUUCUUCGAGCCGGACCCGGCCGCGUCGGGGUCAGGCGGCACGAAGAUGGAAUCGGACUCUGGAGACAGCUUGAUACACGGCUUGAGGAGGCGUUGCAAAGAGACACCGGUUGGUAUUGCCUGCCGAGUGGAGCCUAUUCGAGCCAGGGUAUCAGCUGGCUCGUUGUCGGCUCUUGGUACGUGGAGGAACUCGCAUCCUUCAAAGUACCCACUGAUCUGCUGAACGAGGAAGCGGUAGCUUGCCAUAUUUGCGUCCUUGGCGUCCCAGUCGCCGGAUGAUUGCUGGACCACCAAGUCUGAGUCGCCAUAACAUAGGAUCCGGCGAAUGCCGAGCUCUUUGGCAAGCCGGAGCCCGUGUAUGAGUGCCUCGUACUCGGCCACAUUGUUGGAGGCGGCAAAGUGAAUUUGCGGCGUGUAUCUGAGCUUGUCGCCUUUGGGAGAGGUGAGGACGAUGCCGGCUCCCAAGCCGGUGCGCGUCUUGGACCCAUCGAAGUGCAUGCGCCAAUGAGUGGAGUCGGGAGCCGGCGGUAGGUACUGGGUCUCGACCCAGUCGACGAGGAAGUCGGCCAAUGCUUGGGACUUGAUGGCGGUGCGAGGCUGGUAGAAGAUCGUGUAAGGGGCCAGCUCGAUGGCCCAUUUCGCCACCCGGCCGGAUGCAUCCCGGCUGCCUAUGAUCUCGGCAAGCGGGGCGGUGCAUACGACCGUGAUGGGAUGCUCUUGGAAGUAGGGCUCCAGCUUCUUGGCGGCGAAGUACAUGCCAUAGCACAUCUUCUGGUAGUGCGGGUAGUUCUGCUUCGAGGUAGACAGUACCUUGCUCAAAUAGUACACCGGCCUCUGGACCGGCUGGGCUCGUCCCUCUUCUGGGCGUUGGACUACGAUGACGGUGCUGACCACUCGGCUGGUUGCGGCAAUGUAGAGGAGCAUGGGCUCUUUCUCAGUCGGCGCCACCAGGACCGGCGGUGUGACCAGCAUCUUCUUUAGCUCGUGAAAAGCUUGGUCGGCUUGGUCAUUCCACUCGAAGUGAGUGGUCUUCUUCAUAAGGCGGUAGAGGGGGAGAGCUUUCUCUCCGAGCCGGCUGAUGAAGCGGUUUAGGGAGGCCAAGCAUCCGGUAAACUUCUGGAUGUCUCGAAGUUUGGUGGGAAUCGCCAUUCUCUCAAUGGCCUUGAUUUUCACCGAGUUGCAUUUGAUGCCGCGUUCGGAGACCAGGAAGCCUAGGAGCUGGCCGGCUGGCACUCCGAACACGCAUUUCUCGGGGUUGAGCUUGAUUUGGAACCGGCGUAGGUUCUCAAAUGUUUCCAUGAGGUCUUCCAGCAAGGUGCCGCGCUUCUCCGUCUUCACCACAAUGUCGUCUACGUAGACAUGGGCGUUUCUGCCGAGCUGCUUGAGGAGGCACUUCUGCAUGCAACGCUGAAAAGUGGCACCAACAUUUCUCAAGCCGAAUGUCAUAGUCAGGUAGCAGAAGGCUCCAAAUGGCGUGAUGAAGGCGGUCUUCAGGCGGUCAGCCGGAUCUAACUUUAUCUGGUGGUAUCCUGAGUAAGCAUCCAAGAAACUCAACAGCUCGCAUCCGGCCAUGGAGUCUAUCACUUGGUCAAUCCUCGGGAGGGCAAAGGGAUCUCUGGGGCAGGCCUUGUUGAGGCUCGUGUAGUCUAUGCACAUGCGCCACUUAUUGUUCUUCUUUAAUACGAGGACCGGGUUGGCAAGCCACUCUGGAAAGAAAACUUCCAUAGUGAAGCCGGCUGUCAGAAGCCGGGCUAUCUCCUCUCCCACAAUUCUUCUUUUCUCCUCCGACAGUCGGCGGAGGGGUUGUUUGACUGGUUUUGCGUCUUCUCGGACGUGUAGUUUGUGCUCGGCGAAUUCCUUCGGAACACCCGACAUGUCCUUGGGGGACCAUGCAAAGAUGUCCCGAUUCUCACGGAGGAAAUCGGCGAGCUCGCCUUCCUAUUUGCUGUUUAGGUUUGCCCCGAUGACAGCAAACCUCUCUGGGUGCUCGGGGUCAAGAGGUAUCUUCUUCGUCUCCUUGGCCGGCUGGAAAGAUCCUUGGGCAUCAUACUCCUUGGGAUCGGGGGACAGGGCCGACUGUUUGCCGGCCAUGGCCACGACUCGAUCCAACAUCUUCUUCUCUUCGGCAAUCACAAGGGACUUGGCCAGCCGGCUGCUGGCUGCCGCGCACUCGGAAGACUUCUUGUAAUCGCCGGCUAUGGUGAUGACGCCCUUGGUGCUCGGCAUCUUCAUCUUGAGGUAUGCAUAGUGGGGAACCGCCAUGAACCUGGCCAAGGCAGGUCGGCCAAGCAAUGCAUGGUAGGGGCUCUCCAGGUCCACCACCUCAAACCAGAUCGCUUCCCGGCGAAAAUGCUCCUUGUCCCCAAAGAGUACAUCAAUCUUGAUCUUGCCAAUGGGGGCGCAGGACAGGCCGGGUACGAUGCCAUGGAACACUGUCCGAGUAGGCAUGAGUUGCUUCGUCUUGACGUUCAGCUUCUCCAGGGUGUCACGGUAUAAGAUGUUGAUGCUGCUCCUGCCGUCUAUCAACACGCGGGAGAAACGGGCGGCGCGUCUGUCCAUUGCAAAGGUGGCAUCCAGGACCAAUGCAUAAGAGCCGGGAGAUGGCAUCACCUCUGGGUGGUCAGCCCGGCUCCAGCUGAUAGGUUUUUCUGACCAGUGCAUGUGCUCGGCGGGGUUGGCAGCGACCAUGCUGACUUCCUGGUGCUCUCGGUGUUUGCUGCGCCGGUCUUCGGGCUGGCUUGUAAAGACGACAUAGGCGGCAUGCUCGUCAGGGAACUCAUCAUGCACGGCUCCGACUGCGGGCCGAACGGUCGGCGGCUGCGGGGCCGGAGGCGGCGGAUCGGCAGGCGGAGGCGGCGCGAGCCCUUCGCCUUUGGAGAUUCGGGUGAGCCAAUAGCACUUCCGGGUUGUGUGGUUGGACGGCUUCGCGCUGCUGUGGAACUUGCACGGGGCGUCGAGAGUUUGCUCGUAGGAGAAGGCUGGCUACCAAGCCGGCCUGCCGCCCUUGGAUUUCUUGGGCGCGGGCUGCCCUUCGGGCUGCUCGUCCUCGACUGUGGCCACCUGCCAACUUGCGGGAGGCGGCGCAGGGCCCUUGCCCUUGUGGUCGUUCGGGUGUGGGCGUCGGCCGGAAUCCCCAGCCGACGUCUUGGGCGCUGGGUUGAGUACCUUCCCGGACGCGUCUACUCGGAGCUCGGUCUUCAUUGAGGAGUCGGCGGUGGCGUACUUGUCCGCUAUGUCUAGAAGCUCGUCGAGGGUAGUCGGCUCGUCGCAGAGAAGCUUGUGCUUGAUGAGGGUGCCUUCUCGGCACCCAGCAGUGAAGUAUUCUAUGGCUUGCACCUCGUGCACCCCUUCGCAAGAAUUUCGGAGCUCGGCCCAAUGCAUGAGGUAAUCGCGAGUAGACUCGGCGGGGCCUUGUACGCACAAGGAGAGCUGUCUGGGCUUGGGAGCCCGCUUGUAGGUGCUGGUGAAGUUGCGGACGAAAGCUUCUGUGAAAUCUAGCCAGCUGUUGAUGCUGUAUGGCUUGAGGCUGUUGAGCCAGGUCCGCGCCGUGUCUUGCAGCAUGAGGGGCACGUACUUCACGGCAACGCGCCUGUUGCCAUUGGCUAUGCUAACCGCCGUGGAGUAGUCGAUCAACCAAUCUUCCGGCUUCAUGGAGCCGUUGUACUUGGGCGUGUCUCUUGGGAGCGAGAACCCUUUGGGGAAGGGCUCGUCGCGGAUGCGGGGGCCAAAGCAAGGCGGGCCGACAUCGUCUUCUUCUUCCAGCGCCAGGGAUCGCGCCAGGCGGUCGAUCCGAUGGCGGGCGUCGUUCUCGCUGACUCCUUCGUGGCGACCUAGCCGGCCACUGAGAGUCGGAUGCGCAACAGGCGGCGGGGUGGGAUAUCUCUCUCCACGGGGCCGAGGCGGAGGCGGGUUGCCCCGCCACUCCACGGCCCGAGGGUGGCCUUCUGCAUCUCGCUCGAUGGAGAUUCGGGUUUGGCUUCGGCUGGCAGCCGGCUCUUUCUCGCGCCGCACGCGGGUUCUACCCGUAGUCGGCGUCCGGGACGUCGCGUCGUGAUCUCGGCGCGGGGGAGGGCUUUCCGCGCGGGCGUCGGCUUCGUGCCGCUGCGUGGCUGCAUCGAUUAGCUGCUGGAUGCGUCGGGUCAUGUGGGGGAGUUCUUCGGCCCCCAGUCCGUCUAGCUCGUCUACGGCCGCCUGGGCGGCCCGCAGGUUCUCGAGUGGAGUGGCGUAGACUGGGCGGUCGACUCCUAACAUGUCGGUGAUGACAGCGCCGCACUGUCUGACAACGCCGACCCGGCUGGGCCCGCCUGGGGACGGCGUGCCAAAGGCGGCGCGGUCGGCUUCGCGUCGGUGAGCCUCAGCGAGGCGUCUCAUGGAAACCAACUUCCGGCCCUCCGCAAGGAGGGCGAGGCGGCGAGCCUCCAGUGCUUCAACGUCGGCAUCGGCCGGGAGGGGGAUGUACAAGUCGUGGACCGCCGCGUGCGGGGCAUCGUGGGCGCUCUCGUCAGCAGCGCCGCCGUGGCUGAUGACCAUCACCUCGGUGGUGACAGCGUCGCAGCCAUCGGCCCGGGGAAGCGGGUCGUUGUAGAUCGUGACGUCGGUGGGGAAGGUAUCGAGUGAGGCCGUGUCAGAGUCGGCAGGCAUCGGGUCGGUGGAGCCAACCGACUCCAAAUCCACAGCAGGCUCGCCGGAGACAUGGAGCUGGCCAAGGAGGUUGACGAGGUGGUUGGUGCCCGCGUCGGAGGCGAGCUCGUCGGAGAUGAGGGUCUUGUCGAGGAGAUCGGCGAAGCCGCUCGCUGCGCAGAUGCUGGUGACGCCUUGCAGCGCGUCGUGGCAAGCGCCAUCGGGCGUGCCGGGCUGGCUACGCUCGCGGGGGAGGAAGAAGGUUCCUGUCCAGAACAGGUCUCCGGACGACGAUGCACCUGGCCCCACGGUGGGCGCCAAAUGUCGGGUGGUAGGUGCGACAUAUGCCAACGGGUGGCUUAUCAUUGUGGGAGCCAGUAAGACGUCGCCGGUGCCUGGAAGCGGGAUGAGGCGAAGACAUGCACGCCGGCGAAUCUUACCCAACUUCGGGGCUCUCCGUGGAGAUAACACCCCUACUGCUGCUCUGCGGGGUCUCCGCAUGAUCACUAGAUGAAAAAGUAGCUACACGAUGCUCCUUGAGCUAUUUGGCGAGAGGAGGAAGAAGGGCUCUGCCCGCUCUCUUCUCCUCCCUAUGUGGUGUUUAAAACUAGCAGGGAUCAACCCUUUGCAUGGGUGUCCCAGGGGGUUUAUAUAAGCCCACCCCUCGGGGAUACAAUGGUAAUCCGGCUGGGUGCGAGGCCCAGCCGUCUGUGUCUACACUCGCCGGCUUCUGCACCGACUGCUGGGGCCCGCCGGCUGCUGGGUCCCGUCGGCUGCCGGCUCCUUGGUCGACAGGCAGGCCCCACUGUCCAGGGCCUUGUCGGCGGCUGGUUACUGUUGCUCAAUCCUGGUGACGAAGGCUUCGCCGAGGUGGGCGUGGCUACAGUGCCGCCGUCCGGCGGGUGAUCGCUGUAGGCUCACCGCGUCUUGUCUCCUUAAUGGGGCGUCCCCUUCGAGGGGGUGGCAAACCGGCUGUGGAGAGCCGGCUCUGUCUUGGGCCGACUGGGGGAGGCCGGGCCGCCUUCGGGUGUCUCUCUGCGUGAAGGGGCCCACCGCCCGUGGGCCACUCUGGCGGCCCGUCGUGGAUGACAUCAGGGUCAUCGUGGCAACAGUGCCGCGCCGGACGGGUCAUGGCCACCCGUACGGCGCACUGUGCCAGGCGUGCUCCGGGAUUCGGGGGUGGCAAGCUUUACUGUAGCCACGCCCCGUCACAUCGCCGUUAUGUGGGUGCAGAUUUCGUGAGUACGAUCUUGACCGCUUUAUGGGAGCCGGCUCCUCGGAGCCGGCCCUCCCGCGACUUUUUUCAUGAAGGCUGAAGUCGGGCCGCCUUCCGAUAGUCGGCCUGGGAAACAGCCGGUGAGGGAAAGGCGGCCCUAUGUCUUGAAUUCUUAAGGGCCGGAUGGGCUCGUAAUAAUUUUUUCAGAAGGGCCAGGGGGAGCCGGCUUGGCUACCCAUGGUUAUUUCCUCCGACAACCAGGGUUAUCAGACGCUUGCGAAGCUCCCCCCUCCCCUGAUUUGUUUUCGGCUUGCUAUAGAAAUGACCUCUGGACCGUCGAGCGGACCAAUACAGGAAUGUGUUGGAUGAUAAAACACGUCGAGUCCGGACGGUUGCGGGUGGUUUGAGAGUUCGCGUUGAAAAUGGCUAAGUGUAGAGAGAUUCAUAAUGCACAAUCACAAUGUCUCUAAAAUAAAUGACUGCUUACCUUUAAUCUACCCCAAACGAGAAGUAUGUACGAGUGGUGAUGACAUCCGCAUCGGUCGGUCUUUUGAAUUUGCGAGAAUGUUCAAACGAAAAGGUUGAACAAAGUGGACGGCAAAAACACUUUAAAGAAGCAGUCCUUGGGCAAAGGAGGGAAGGAAAACAGAGGCUGGAAUCAAGAUCCUUCCGUGUAGAAUGCCCUUUUCAACUUUCAUGGUCUUCCCCACGACCCAACCAUGCAAGACUAGUUAGAAAAUGACUGCUCGACCAGGCAAUAACCAACAUUAAGCCAGUAAUUAAUCUAGUCCCCAGGAUGACCAAAGACCCGUUCUCUCUUUCGUACCCGCUGCAGCCUGCUAACGAUGUACGUGCCACGCUGUUUCCUUCGUAGUAGUAUAUGGUCGGGGGUGGUGCCCUUACUUAUACAGCUCAUACGCGUGACACGAAGUCUUGCGCUCACUUUGCUUAACCUCGUACACACAUCACAAAUUCAUCCUUGCACUACAUUCACGAGAGGUGGUCCUCCUCUCCAUUAGCCGCGACGAUCUUGGAGGGAUGGAUGACGUGCUGUCGCAGAUUAGCGAGGCGUUCCGGCUCGCCGGCGAGCUCAUGGGUGAGCUCCAGGCCACCCAGAACGGCCCGGCCUACAUCGCCGCACGCUGCCACGGCAUUGUCCAUGCCUACAACAGAGCCAUCCGCAUGCUGCAGCAGUACGGCGUGGGCGACGUGGCCGCAGCCGCGCCACGUGAGCUCGAGGCCGGGUCGAUGGACAUCCUGCGCCUGGGCAGCACGGGCGAAGGCGGCGCUAGCCAGUUUCUCGGAGAGACUCCGGCGCAUUUGGCCCACCGGAAGGAGCCAUUCCACAUGCCGGCCGGCGUGUUCGGUGCGCGAGUGGCGCCACAGCAUACGAUGUGCGCGGGGGCGGGCGUCGCCGGCACGUCCGGUGGCCCGAUGAGGAGGCUGCCGUCGUCCAGGUCUCCGCCAGCGGUCCAGCCACGGCAGGGCAGGAGGAGGUACGUACGCGAGCCUGUGCUUUGUUCUGGCAAUCGUUGCAUUUUGGGGGUCAACGGUUCAAACGCGCAGACCAUUUACCACGUCAUGCCCCAGAAAUGCCAGCGAAUUUUCCUAGUCCCCCGCAGCGAACGUUCACUGCGACAGCGGCGUAGGGGCGAAUUGCUCGGCGAGUCAUUGGGCGUCAAGAACUAGUACUACAUUUGUAGCAAAAUAUAAGACGUUUUUGUAAUUUAAUUUGAACUGCAAAAACAUCUUANNNNNNNNNNNNNNNNNNNNNNNNNNNNNNNNNNNNNNNNNNNNNNNNNNNNNNNNNNNNNNNNNNNNNNNNNNNNNNNNNNNNNNNNNNNNNNNNNNNNNNNNNNNNNNNNNNNNNNNNNNNNNNNNNNNNNNNNNNNNNNNNNNNNNNNNNNNNNNNNNNNNNNNNNNNNNNNNNNNNNNNNNNNNNNNNNNNNNNNNNNNNNNNNNNNNNNNNNNNNNNNNNNNNNNNNNNNNNNNNNNNNNNNNNNNNNNNNNNNNNNNNNNNNNNNNNNNNNNNNNNNNNNNNNNNNNNNNNNNNNNNNNNNNNNNNNNNNNNNNNNNNNNNNNNNNNNNNNNNNUUUUGUUUUCUUUCGAGAUGGCACUAUUUUCUUUAUUUUUUGAUCAUUACUUAAAAAGGUAGUUUAUAGAUUAGCAAUAGCGGACGAGGAGAGGUACAUACAGCGUGACAUGGUAUCAAUCUUGUGUUAUUGUGAUCUAAACCUACGGAUCCAAUAUGAAAAAUCAGAGAUAAUGUUUCUAAUUAUCAGAAAACCCGAGUGGGUGUCCCAACCUUCCAUAGGAUGGCGAGGGCUACUGUUGCCUAAAUGUCGUGGUCGAGGCCUGCGGGGUGUUGCACAUCCCAUAUAAGGUGGGAGUGACUAGUAUAGAAUCUGAGCUCCCAGUGCAAAAAUAGAAAAAGCAACCUGAGCCACUGGAUUAGAGAUCAAUGGUACAGAUUCUGGUGGAGGGGCAUGUUCCCACUUAAUGUCCAUUUCACGAAAACCCCCCUACCAACACUUGAAUAUAAAACAUGACUUUUACAGUUACAACCUCAAGUCACUCGUCCAUUUCCAAAUUAGCACAACGUUGAUGUCAUCCUCCUAGAAGCUUGUCAAUAUUUCAGUACGUGAGAAAGUUGACCCAUCCCCUUUAAGGUUCAAGCACAACUCAACGUACAUGUUCUCUCUAAAAAUUAAGAACUAAAUGUACAGGCCAAACUUAUGUUUAGAAAACAAAACAGAUAUGGCAGAAAGAAAACUGUCCCUCAAGGCAAAAAUAAUAAUUUAUUCCAGACUUGGUGAGCACCUUCUAAACUUAUUACAAACUAUAUUUGCCAGUCUUGUUGCUUAAUCUUCACAGCCAAGCAACAGAAAUGCCGCAAUGAUCGAAAUGAUUGAAGUAAAUACAAUGAACAUAUAUCUUGAUAAAUGUAGAGGGCUCUAGCAAUUAAACAAGAAAACUACUAAAUUCAUUUAUAACUAUUAUGCAACACUAAAUUAAAGUCAACAUUAAGCUUCUCUAGUAAUAAACACCCACAUCUCAAUAGGAUGGCGAAAAUGAAUUUCACAAGGUAUUCUAUUUCUGGUCCACUCUGAUCCAUAUACAUGGCCUGAUUAACAUGACAGGACCAUUUAUAGCACAUGACCGACAACAAAGGAUUUAAAUUAUCAUGCAGACAAAUGAGUUUUGCUCCUGCAAUUGUAAGCAAGGGAAGCCUAUGCUAAGCGCUUCU
Molecule: long non-coding RNA, 25401 nt
Filed under: Triticum aestivum (bread wheat)
Lineage: Eukaryota; Viridiplantae; Streptophyta; Magnoliopsida; Poales; Poaceae
Description: long non-coding RNA (TAES_LNC023280)
Source: RNAcentral